UAGGGAAUCUUCGGCAAUGGGGGCAACCCUGACCGAGCAACGCCGCGUGAGUGAAGAAGGUUUUCGGAUCGUAAAGCUCUGUUGUAAGAGAAGAACGUGUGUGAGAGUGGAAAGUUCACACAGUGACGGUAACUUACCAGAAAGGUACGGCUAACUACGUGCCAGCAGCCGCGGUAAUACGUAGGUCCCGAGCGUUGUCCGGAUUUAUUGGGCGUAAAGCGAGCGCAGGCGGUUUAAUAAGUCUGAAGUUAAAGGCAGUGGCUUAACCAUUGUUCGCUUUGGAAACUGUUAAACUUGAGUGCAGAAGGGGAGAGUGGAAUUCCAUGUGUAGCGGUGAAAUGCGUAGAUAUAUGGAGGAACAACGGUGGCGAAAGCGGGUCUCUGGUAUGUAACUGACGCUGAGGCUCGAAAGCGUGGGGAGCAAACAGG
This 429-nucleotide ribosomal RNA is filed under the name bacterium. RNAcentral describes it as "partial 16S ribosomal RNA". It matches the Rfam family "Bacterial small subunit ribosomal RNA", at positions 355 to 776 of the family's 1533-position model. The record is from RNAcentral.